AUUGCUUCUCUGCCUUUUGGCUAAGAUCAAGUGUGGUAGCUGUUCUUAUCAGUUUAAUAUCUGAUAUGUCAUCUAUAUGAGGACUACAUAUUAAAUAGAACAGGGAGACGGAAGAGGGGCUCGCUUCAUCCGCUCCAUGCAUUGGCCUGGUAUUACAGUACCUCCGGGAACGGUGCACCUCCU
Small nuclear RNA from Pygocentrus nattereri (red-bellied piranha), 183 nucleotides. Its record names the gene U2. It matches the Rfam family "U2 spliceosomal RNA". Rfam says of the family: U2 is a small nuclear RNA (snRNA) component of the spliceosome (involved in pre-mRNA splicing). Lineage: Eukaryota; Metazoa; Chordata; Actinopteri; Characiformes; Serrasalmidae. The record is from Ensembl.